GCCCAAUACUUUAGAACUUAAGUCACACCACUUAAUGCUUAUAUUUUGAGCAUCAUAAUCUUAGAAUUUAUUUGAUACUCAACACUUAUGACAUACUUAAUUUGUCAAGCACCACUUAGUCUUAAACAUAGUUCAUCUAGGCCUCGAAUAUUCAUGUUUGAUUCUGGAUUCAAUCUUUCACAAUGUCUUAGGUCUGGGAAUACCUCAUGACAUGUUACUCGAUCCAAAAUUGCACUCUUUCAUUUAAUAAUUUUCGGCAUAAUUUGCUUAAAGCAAUUUUUUAUCUUUAAAAUGAUAUGGAUCAGGGACACAAAUCCAUAUUUGACGGUGUAUAAUUCAGGACAUGCCACACUUUAACUUGCAUUUAUUAAUGAUGCCUUUAGGUAAAGUAUUGGUUGAAGCCUUCCACAUAUGACUUCUCCCACAAGAGUGUUGAUAAUACUUUAUGUGGAAUUUCUUAGUAUCAACACUUCUUGUAACAUAAUUGUCCAAAAUAUUGGAUUUCUUACUUAUGGGCAUGCAACAUAACACCUUUGCAUUUAUGCCAAUAAGGCAAAAUGUUCUUAAUUGAUUUUUCCAGGGGUCCAGUCCUGGACUAAUUUCCCAGAUAUCCCGGUCCUUUUAAGGAUACUUAGGGCAAUUUAUAACUUAAUUAAACAUAUAAUGCUUAUGUUUGCCAUUACAUAAGCAAAUUUAUUACCCUUAAUGGGAAUCAACCCAUUUCCUGGACCUUUUAUCUUGGUGAAUAUUAUUGUUCAAAACUUAAGAGAUAUCACCAAGACAAUCUUAGUAUCCAGAUAAAAGAAAAUCUGGAUCUUUAUGUACACAAUAUCCCUAUUGUUUAAUAACUUAUUUCUUAUUGUACUUAUGUAUCACUUAUGGACUCCAAUAAUUUUUCAAAUGAUGAGCAACGAGUGUCAUACAAUCUUUAUGACAUAAUUAAUCCCUUUCACAUAGUGGGAUUGAUCAAAGAUCUUCAAGUGGGCACAAAGGCGCCACAAGGAGCUAAAGCAAGUAUUCAUAACAACAACGCUGGAGUUCUGACAAGGAACCGCACGUGUUCCUGCGACGGCCUGGAACUGCAUUUCGCAACAAAUCACAUUGGUCACUUUCUUCUAACAAACCUCCUAUUGGAGAACAUGAAGAGCACAUGUAGGGACAGCGGCACCGAGGGACGGAUUGUCAAUGUGACGUCAGUAGGGCAUGCCAUGAUGACUUAUCCUGAAGGGAUAUGCUUUGACAAAAUUCAUGAUCCUUCCGGUUUGAUUGACUUUAUUGCUUACUGCCAAUCCAAGCUUGCCAAUAUUCUUCACUCCAAUGAAUUAUCACGAAUUUUCAAGGAGGAAGGAGUGAAUAUUUCAGCCAAUGCCGUUCAUCCUGGUGUCAUCAUGACUAACAUUUUUAGGGACAGGACUAUUGUGGGUGGUAAUUUUCUCAAUCCUAACGGUCGAUGUUAUUGUUUGAAAACCACAAAGGGCUUCCAACACAUUCAAAUAUCUCAAAUAAUUUCUGGCUUGUAGCCUGGAGCUCCGGUUGUAACGAUGUUUAAUUUGUGACUGUUCCCACUAUUCUUACAGCGUUUUUUAACACCAUUGGAAGAAUCAUAUGUAGAAGAGUUGAACAGGGUGCCGCAACGACAUGCUAUGUGGCGAUGCAUCCUCAAGUGAAGGGGAUAAGUGGAAAGUACUUCGCCGAUUGUAACAUAUCCAGCCCGAGCUUACAAGCUUCAGAUGCUGAGCUGGCCAAGAAGCUAUGGCAGUUCAGCUUGCAGACAGUGUCUUCUUGAUCAAGCUAUGCUUGCAUGAACGAGUGAUGCACGUAUUGUUGUACUUAAUGCUUACAUAGCUCUUCCGGAUGUUUGUUAUCGGUGUAUUUAGUUACUGCACUAUGAAUCAAAAUGUCUCAAUCUUGAUUCAAAAUUUGAAAUUCAAACCACCCUACUAUCUUAUAAUUCA
Panicum virgatum (switchgrass) is the source of this 1955-nucleotide RNA transcript. It is a transcript of the gene named short-chain dehydrogenase TIC 32 A, chloroplastic-like, with no coding region annotated. NCBI's taxonomy places the organism in Eukaryota, Viridiplantae, Streptophyta, Magnoliopsida, Poales, Poaceae. The transcript is spliced from 6 exons. The record is from RefSeq and is a predicted model, not a curated record.